This 46-nucleotide ribosomal RNA is filed under the name fungal sp. 5OL6-16B. RNAcentral's name for it is "partial 25S ribosomal RNA". RNAcentral also lists the same sequence under 9 other names. The record is from RNAcentral. Lineage: Eukaryota; Fungi.
CAUGACCUCAUUGGGGUAGGACAACCCGCUAGACUUAAGCAUAUCA